RNAcentral lists this unclassified non-coding RNA (212 nucleotides) under uncultured fungus. RNAcentral describes it as "sequence contains ITS1". The record is from RNAcentral. Lineage: Eukaryota; Fungi.
AUAUUUUGAAUUAAGUUAUUCAUAAUAAUAAUUUUUUUUCAGACAAAUGGCAAUUAAAAAUAAGAGUUGAAUAGUUAAAGAGAAGCGGAGGAAGAGAGAACCCUUCCAACCCCUUCAAAAAAACAUUGCACACAAGGUGGAUAUGGAUUGUUUAAAAAGUGCCAUAAACACUUUUAUUAUGAAUGAUCCUUCCGCAGGUUCACCUACGGAAA